This 72-nucleotide transfer RNA is filed under the name Psalidodon scabripinnis. Its description in RNAcentral is "tRNA-Asp". It matches the Rfam family "tRNA". From Rfam's summary of the family: Transfer RNA (tRNA) molecules are approximately 80 nucleotides in length. Their secondary structure includes four short double-helical elements and three loops (D, anti-codon, and T loops). Further hydrogen bonds mediate the characteristic L-shaped molecular structure. tRNAs have two regions of fundamental functional importance: the anti-codon, which is responsible for specific mRNA codon recognition, and the 3' end, to which the tRNAs corresponding amino acid is attached (by aminoacyl-tRNA synthetases). tRNAs cope with the degeneracy of the genetic code in two manners: having more than one tRNA (with a specific anti-codon) for a particular amino acid; and 'wobble' base-pairing, i.e. permitting non-standard base-pairing at the 3rd anti-codon position. The record is from RNAcentral. Lineage: Eukaryota; Metazoa; Chordata; Actinopteri; Characiformes; Acestrorhamphidae. RNAcentral also lists the same sequence under 1 other name.
AAGAUGCUAGUAAAAUAGCCAUUACACUGCCUUGUCAAGGCAGCAUUGCAGGUUAAAACCCUGCGCAUCUUA